This 115-nucleotide microRNA precursor is filed under the name Asparagus officinalis (garden asparagus). RNAcentral describes it as "miR482b stem-loop (aof-MIR482b)". Its record names the gene aof-MIR482b. The record is from miRBase by way of RNAcentral. Lineage: Eukaryota; Viridiplantae; Streptophyta; Magnoliopsida; Asparagales; Asparagaceae.
GAGGACUAGAUUGUUAGGUGUUAUUGGAUUGGGUUAGGAUUGGAAAAAUCUUAUGAAUCCAAGUAUUUUUUCCAAAACCUCCCAUUCCGAUGAUUUCUAACUGGCUAGCCCUCUC